Molecule: non-coding RNA, 1901 nt
Organism: Macaca mulatta (Rhesus monkey)
Lineage: Eukaryota; Metazoa; Chordata; Mammalia; Primates; Cercopithecidae
Source: RefSeq, a predicted model, not a curated record
GACACGAUGAUGUCAUCAUCGCCGAGCAGCCCCAACGCCUGCAUCUUCACAAAGCUCCAUCGCGGGCUCCGGAAACCGGGCUGGGGGUGGGGAGGCGAAGACCCUCCCUCUGCCCCAGCCCCUCCCGCCUCGCCGGGACCGCCCGCAUUGUGUAGCUUUGAAAUGCAAACGAGCCGCGGCCCGGGAGCUGGGGCCCCAGAAAGGAGGGGCGUGGUGGUCGGGUGGGCUGACCACCGAGAGUAGGGGGCUCAGCCCUGCUGGCUCAUCCCUCCAGGAAGGAGGAAAUGGUCUCUCCCGGCCCAGGACCAGGGGGACGGUUGGAGGAACAGGUACAGGUGGUUUGGGGCACACCUGGGAACCCCACCGUCCCCCUCAUGCUGUACAUUCAACACAACCGCUUCCUGCGCUCCCAGCCCAGACUCACAACUGAAUUCAAAUGGAACCUCUGAUGGCGACGUGGCCAAGGACGUUUGGAUGGGCUCUUCUGAUACUGACACUCGAGGUCACAGUAGUUCCAGAGCUUCACGGGGACUGACUUUCCACUGCUGCUAUUCAGUAUCAGUGUCAAACAGAAUGCCAGAGGAUCAACAUCGUUCUGUGGGAUGUAACAACAUGAAAUUUCCAGGAAACAUUGAGAAGGUUUACUUUUGCAUUUAUAUGAAAAUAGCUAAUGAUUAUGUCAAUCUUGCAGGGAAGGUAGCUGUCAGGGGUGGCGUGAUGAGGCGUGCUCUGGAAAGCACCUCCCGGGGAAGCUGUCACUCAAUGUCAGCAUUGGGUGUCACUUGGUGGCAAGGAUCCUGCAACCUGUUCAUCCUGUCAUCAUUCUCAGCACCCUGGGGGUUUGUUUCGCUGUCAGAAAACAGACCUCUUGGGCUCCAUAUGCAGGUGAGGGCCCAAAGAAGCUUACCACGCGGAGCUGAAACAUUGGUAAGCUCUAACCUGGGCUGGUACUGUUCUGAGGAAAGUGGCCCUUUCCCUGGGCACCUAGGGACUGGCCUUCAGCCAAGCCUGGUACUCAGAAAAUACAUGAGGAAAAAAUGAGGAACCACAAUUAGAACUCAUCUGCCAACUUUUAAAAACAUUUUUCAGAUGAUGUCCAAAAGCACAAAGCCAUCUAAAUGUCCUUACCCUGAGUAGGUAGAGGUUCUGCUGCGAUAACAAGAUAGGGUUUGAAAUGAGACCGGAGUUCAAAUCCUGACUUUUCCCUCAUUAGCUGUGUGGCCUGAGCCGACUGCUUAACCAUACUGAACCUUAUUUCCUCAGCUGACAAAAGAGGAAAAGCAUCUAUUUUGCAAGGACAUUGGAAAAAGUAAAUUAAAUACCAUCUAUGAAUGCCCAGGACCAGGAUUCUUCUUUAUAAGGUAAAAAUUUCCCCCAAGUAUGUGGGGAAAAGAAAGAGAUCAGCCUGUUACUGUGUCUAUAUAGAAAGAAGUAGACAUAAGAGACUCCAUUUUGUUCUGUAUUUGAGAUGCUGUUAAUCUGUGACCCUACCCCCAACCUUGUCCUUGCAAGAGACAUGUGCUGUGGUAACUCAAGGUUUAAUGGAUUUUGGGCGUGCAGGGUGUGACUUUGUUCCUAGAUAAGCUAGGUAUUGUCUAAGGUUUCUCCCCAUGUGAUAGACUGAAACUAUGCUGCCAAAAGGUUUAUGGAGAUGUUUGCAUAUGCAUCUCAAGGCACAGCUUUGUCCUUUGAACUUAUUCAUGUCACAGAGGUUUUUGUUCAUAUGUCUUACUGCUGAUUUCCUCUUUUUUCUUUGAUCCUAUUGUCCUGCCACUCCCCUGUCUUUAAAAUGGUAAAGAUAAUUAUCAAUAAAUACUAACGGAACUCAGAGACCGGGGCCGGCGUGGGUCCUCUGUAAGCUGAGCGCUGGUCCCCUGGGCCCCCGCUUUUCUUUCUCUAUA